GGGUGGAUCCCAAAUGUUCUAAAGCUCUAAUUUAAAAAGAAUUCUUAAAGGGCUAACUAGUUGUGUUAUUUUAUAAAGAAAGAGCUGAAAUUUUUUUUAGGAGCGUCUCAGCAAGUUCAUUAAUUGCUAGCUUUCUAUAAGGGUGACACUUAGCAAGCUAUUCCUUAUUUUAUUUUAUAUUUCAAACUCUAACCACAUGUCCCUCUUUGUAGUCAUUUUAAUUCAUUAAUUAAAGCAGAAAGAAUAGA
Molecule: long non-coding RNA, 248 nt
Filed under: Elaeis guineensis (African oil palm)
Lineage: Eukaryota; Viridiplantae; Streptophyta; Magnoliopsida; Arecales; Arecaceae
Description: long non-coding RNA (EGUI_LNC051405)
Source: RNAcentral